This 497-nucleotide ribosomal RNA is filed under the name uncultured bacterium. RNAcentral's name for it is "partial 16S ribosomal RNA". It matches the Rfam family "Bacterial small subunit ribosomal RNA", at positions 28 to 507 of the family's 1533-position model. The record is from RNAcentral.
GAUGAACGCUGGCGGCGUGCCUAAUGCAUGCAAGUCGAGCGAACAGACGAGGAGCUUGCUCCUCUGACGUUAGCGGCGGACGGGUGAGUAACACGUGGAUAACCUACCUAUAAGACUGGGAUAACUUCGGGAAACCGGAGCUAAUACCGGAUAACAUGUUGAACCGCAUGGUUCAACAGUGAAAGACGGUCUUGCUGUCACUUAUAGAUGGAUCCGCGCCGCAUUAGCUAGUUGGUAAGGUAACGGCUUACCAAGGCAACGAUGCGUAGCCGACCUGAGAGGGUGAUCGGCCACACUGGAACUGAGACACGGUCCAGACUCCUACGGGAGGCAGCAGUAGGGAAUCUUCCGCAAUGGGCGAAAGCCUGGCGGAGCAACGCCGCGUGAGUGAAGAAGGUCUUCGGAUCGUAAAACUCUGUUAUUAGGGAAGAACAAAUGUGUAAGUAACUAUGCACGUCUUGACGGUACCUAAUCAGAAAGCCACGGCUAACUACGUG